RNAcentral lists this long non-coding RNA (754 nucleotides) under Lactuca sativa (garden lettuce). RNAcentral's name for it is "long non-coding RNA (LSAT_LNC004897)". The record is from RNAcentral. Lineage: Eukaryota; Viridiplantae; Streptophyta; Magnoliopsida; Asterales; Asteraceae.
AUUGCGUGUCGUAACCGCGCGUCGUAAAUGCGCGUCGUAAAUGCGCGUCGUCUCUCUUUAUGACAGGGCCUUCCUUGACACGCAUUUGCGCGUCGUCUGAGCGUUUUACGACGCGCAAUGAGCGUCGUAAAAGGCCUUUUUUCUAGUAGUGGGCCCUUUAAUAAUUUUGGACAUAGACUUUGGGCCCAUUAACAAGGAAAGGAUAAUUGGGCCUCAUGGAAGGGUUGGAGUUUUGGGUUUCCUUUGAUUAAUUAAGGUCCUAACAUUGAUUAAUAUUAUUAUUCACCACCGGAGGUUACAGACUGUUAGGAGAGCAGCUUUCGAAUUCAGCAGACAGAGGUGAGUUUCCUCACCAUACCAAUGGGUCUAAGGCAGCAAGGCCGGCCUACUUCAUGAUAUGUAGAGUCCUAGCUAUAAUAGAAUUAUUUGUUAUGAUAGAUUGUAUGAGCUAGGAAGUAUGCUUGUAUUAUGUGUGUCAAGUUGGUAUCGAAGACCAUGGGAGAGCCCAUGACACUCUGAUGUAAGACCAUGUGGAGAGCCCUUGGCUUUCCUAUUAAAGACCAUGGGAGAGCCCAUGACACUUGGAUGUAAGACCAUGUGGAGAGCCCAUGGGUUUCCUAUCAACGAACAUGGGAGAGCCCAUGGCACUUAGGUGUAAGACCAUGUGGGGAGCCCAAGGUAUCUUGGAGUAAGACCCUGGGGACGAGCCUACGACAUCCCUAUCAGUUGUAUGCAUGGCUUAUGUGAUUUGUAU